UCCACGCCGUAAACGAUGUCGACUUGGAGGUUGUGCCCUUGAGGCGUGGCUUCCGGAGCUAACGCGUUAAGCCGACCGCCUGGGGAGUACGGCCGCAAGGUUAAAACUCAAAUGAAUUGACGGGGGCCCGCACAAGCGGUGGAGCAUGUGGUUUAAUUCGAUGCAACGCGAAGAACCUUACCUGGUCUUGACAUCCACAGAACUUUCCAGAGAUGGAUUGGUGCCUUCGGGAACUGUGAGACAGGUGCUGCAUGGCUGUCGUCAGCUCGUGUUGUGAAAUGUUGGGUUAAGUCCCGCAACGAGCGCAACCCUUAUCCUUUGUUGCCAGCGGUCCGGCCGGGGACUCAAAGGAGACUGCCAGUGAUAAACUGGAGGAAGGUGGGGAUGACGUCAAGUCAUCAUGGCCCUUACGACCAGGGCUACACACGUGCUACAAUGGCGCAUACAAAGAGAAGCGACCUCGCGAGAGCAAGCGGACCUCAUAAAGUGCGUCGUAGUCCGGAUUGGAGUCUGCAACUCGACUCCAUGAAGUCGGAAUCGCUAGUAAUCGUGGAUCAGAAUGCCACGGUGAAUACGUUCCCGGGCCUUGUACACACCGCCCGUCACACCAUGGGAGUGGGUUGCAAGAGAAGUAGGUAGCUUAACCUUCGGGAGGGCGCUUACCACUUUGUGAUUCAUGACUGGG
This 685-nucleotide ribosomal RNA is filed under the name Escherichia sp. GXS1. RNAcentral's name for it is "bacterial SSU rRNA". It matches the Rfam family "Bacterial small subunit ribosomal RNA", at positions 794 to 1479 of the family's 1533-position model. Lineage: Bacteria; Pseudomonadati; Pseudomonadota; Gammaproteobacteria; Enterobacterales; Enterobacteriaceae. The record is from RNAcentral.